This is a long non-coding RNA of Gorilla gorilla gorilla (western lowland gorilla), 1007 nucleotides long. RefSeq lists it as uncharacterized. The transcript is spliced from 3 exons. The record is from RefSeq and is a predicted model, not a curated record. Lineage: Eukaryota; Metazoa; Chordata; Mammalia; Primates; Hominidae.
GCAGGGCCCCCAAGAGUGUAUGUGGUCCUGGCUGUGACCUCCUCCCUCCUCCCUCUCCUGCUCCCUCUCCUUCAACAGGGGCCAUCAGGUCUUGGGUAGAGACAGGGCCUUUGCUCUCUCCCUCCUCUAGGAAAAGCCGUGUCUUGGUCUGGGUAGCCGGGCUUGGUAGUGGUGGUGGGGCAUCUGUAGCUCUAGGUCCAGCUGGAGGCCCCGCCUGGCCAGGUGUUGAGUGAACAGCAGACCCUCUCUCUGCAGACAUCAGGGCAGUUUGUUGUGGGGGAAGAGUCAAGUGAGGAUUUCCAUGUCUGGAGGAAUCUCCUGGAGGAGCUUGUCAAAAAAUGGAGACUCUUGGGCCCAACCCCAGGGAUUCUGAUUUAGGGGGUUGGGGUGGCGCCCAGGAGUCUGCAAGUUAAACAAUAAAUAGCCCAGGAGAUUCUGAUACAGGUGGGCGAUGGCAAACAUUUUGAGAAAUCCCAGGAGGUGGGAAGGAAGGACUACAGACAGAUGGCCUGGUUGGAAUCUUCUGGGAAUCACCUCUGGGAAUCAGUUUCCUCACUCAUAAAGUGGAGAGGAUAAUGCUUUGGCACCUGGCAUAUGAACCUGAUGCUCACUAUGCUACUCUCCUGCUCAAGAACCUGCUGUGGCUGGACUGUACAUCACGCCUAAACUGCCUCAACCUCCACUUAUAUCAACCUUCACUUCCCCCGUUCCACUGGCCCAUCCAGACACAACUCCUCACUGUGUUGGACCAUUCUGGCAGCUGCGUCUUGGAGUGACCUUUCUUUUGACCUCUGUCAUUUUCAAGACAGCCUCUCCAUGAAGCCCUCCUUGACAGCCCCAGCCCACUUGAGCUUUCUUUUCUCUUAGUGGCCAGCAUCAGACACCAACUGUUUCUCGUCAUCUAAUUGAGCAUGGUAGAGGAGACACUGGAAACAGAAAAAAACCAAAGCUCAUGGCCUUGCUCUGCUCCUUCCUGGCUGUGUUAUCCUGAGCAAAGUACUUCAUCC